UGUUUUCAGAGCUUUUUGACGUCAGAAUUUCAGAUAGGGGAUUUUGAAACUGAAUUGGGAUAUCGGAUAUGCCAUGUAAAAUAAGUAUAUUGAAUAUUUUUUGGAAAAUAAAAGAGACACUUAAAAAACAUAAGCCAGAAAUAAGAGAGAAUGAAAGCACAUUUGAAAAAACCAGCCAAAUAGAACUUCUAGAAAUAAAAAUUACAUGAUUGAAAUUUAAAACACAAUGGAUGCAUUAAGCCAGAAUAUUAGACUCGCCUAAAGAAAGAAUUAGUAAAGUAGUUUUGCUCAGGAGGUGGGUAAACCAAUUAACCUAAGAUGUUGUUAAGUACUCAUAUUAAAUGAUCUAAAAAUAGCUACAAAAAUAUAACUACCAAAUUAGUAAGGGGGAAUGUAAUGAGAAAAAGGAAAAAAUAAAAGAGAAAUUCAAUCAAUGCAAAAGAAGGCAAAAACAAGGAGGAAAAUCUUCUUCCAAACAAAACUAAAAAACUCAAAAUAGCACAAAACAAGACGGUAGAUAAAUCUAAUUAUAAUAUUAAUUACCACAAAUAUAAAUGGACUUUAUUCAUUUUAAUUAAAAGAAAAUGACUUUCAUCCUCUAUUUUUAAAUUGCGUCUAUGUUUUAAAAAAACACCUUAAAACAUAAGCAGAGAGUUUACAUCAAACCGUUAGGAAAAGAUAUUCCAGAUACCUAAUAGCCUAAGUAAAUCUGGUAUGGCUAUACAAAUAUUACGCAUUUGGGGACUUCAACUUUUGGUUAUGACGGAGUAAGUGGCUCCAGACUUGCUCUCCCACUGCAACCAAUCAGACAACUGGAGUAAAGAUAUGAAACGACUACUUUCACACAUUAGACAACUGGCAGAACAGGACUGGGAUAUAAACAAGGUAAGCCCUGCUGAACCCUGCCUUUCUGCAUGGAGGUACUUUCUGGGCAGCAGCUCAUGGAAGGAGAGUCCAAGCCAGCACAGGAGUGUCACUGAGAUGAAGAGACAGAUUGUUGAGAUCUGGGAGGCGGAGGUGGUGGGAGUUUGCAGGGCAGAGUACAGGAAAGGAGGAAGCAGAGGAAGAGAUCCAGAAAUGUACAUCAGAGUUCCCUUGGGUCUUUUGCUAAAUACCAAGCCAUGAACACAUAGGGUCAAACUUCAUGAGGCUGGACAAAGGAGGAAUGCCAGGUUGUGUAAGCUGAACAGACACCUGACACAGCUGGGAAAUGUUCGAGGUUCCACCUCUUGGUGGAGCAAGUAGACAGAAAAUCAGUAAGGUUCUAUAAGCCCUGAAGAACACCAUCAAGUAUCUCGUCUUUAUUGAUAUUCAUAGGACAAUACACCGACAAUAGUGAAAUAUCCAUUUUUUAAGAGUAUAUGAAACAUAAGCAAAUAUAAAUAAAUUUUAAAGGAUGAAAAUUGUACAGAGUAUUUUCUCUGACUUCAGUGCCUGGGUUCCCUAAUUAAUGGGAGCGGGAGGAUGAGGGAGAAUUGUGCAGAUCCCAAACUGCCGUCUCCUUAGAAUUUUCCAGGGGUGAGUCCUAAGAGGAGGUACAUGCAAUGACUAGAAAGUGCCACUAGGAGGAAGUAUUUGCUCAUGAAACCAACGACCUGAGCAAUCAGUAACAGACUCAGAUCCAGGCUAUACGCCUGGAUUAUCCCAGGAAAUGGGAACUGAAAUAGUCCAAUGAAGUAUAAACUGAAAGACAUUCUUGCUGAAUCUCUUCUUGCCAGUGUUCCAGUUCAGCCAGAGGAUGACCAGAACAUUCGACCCUUACCUGCUGUUUACCCACAAGCUAUGACAUUUCCUGGUGACCUGACCCUGGAUCCCUGGCAUGGGCUCAGAGGGCUGCUGUGUCUCUGAGACAUCUCCUCCAUUCACCAUCCCAGGGAAUCUCUUCUUCCUUCUCAUCUCAAAGGGCAGCACCGUCCAGUUGCUGUAUGAGAAAUCUCAAAGCAAGCCAGUCCUCCCCCAGCCUACACCAAGCUCUCAACUCUGCCAGAAGGAAAGUCUCCCUCCUGAUCUGCAAUGCUCUUAGUAAGCUUCACCAUGCAAACUGUGCCAGAAGUCAUGAGUCCAGGAGCCAGAGCUGCACGGCACACUUGGGUCUGAAGAGUUUCCUGUAUCACAGUAGUUUUUACCAGGGGUUGAUCUUGCCUCCCAGAGCACAUUUGCAAUGUCUAGAGACAUUUUGAUUGUCAUGACUGGAAAGUUGCUAUUCAUCUAAGGGGUAGGGGCCAGGGAUGCUGCUAAACAUCCUACAAUGCACAGGACAGCUCACAGUGAAGAUAAUAUGUUGGUGUUGCCAAAGUUGAGAACUCAGGUCUGCUCUACCAGAAUGCAGAAGGAAGUAUAACGAACAAUCUUUCAAGCCAUGAGAAGACAGAAGCAGUCUUGUUGCUUUCAAUGUUUGAUCUCAAUUCUCUAUCUGCAGUGCCUCUUGGAGCCUGGUAACUGAAGACACUCUAAAAUCUAUGUCUCUAUAGAAUGAGAGACUGCCAAUAAAUGAGAGAGUGCGUGAAUGCUAAUAAACAAAUAUUCCGUUUUAAGUAUUCUUUCUUGAAGUCUAUUGCCAGUGGGAGGAUUCUGGUGAGGACCAGGCAGAAUUAAGAGUGGGAGUGGUGGUGAGAGG
This 2617-nucleotide long non-coding RNA is filed under the name Equus caballus (horse). Its description in RNAcentral is "lncRNA (ENSECAG00000044301.1)". Lineage: Eukaryota; Metazoa; Chordata; Mammalia; Perissodactyla; Equidae. The record is from RNAcentral.